Molecule: ribosomal RNA, 253 nt
Filed under: uncultured bacterium
Lineage: Bacteria
Description: partial 16S ribosomal RNA
Rfam family: Bacterial small subunit ribosomal RNA
Source: RNAcentral
GACGUAGGGCGCGAGCGCUGUCCGGAUUUAUUGGGCGUAAAGAGCUCGUAGGCGGCUUGUCGCGUCGAAUGUGAAAUCUCAGAGCUCAACUCUGACAUUGCAUUCGAUACGGGCAGGCUAGAGUUCGGUAGGGGAGACUGGAAUUCCUGGUGUAGCGGUGAAAUGCGCAGAUAUCAGGAGGAACACCGAUGGCGAAGGCAGGUCUCUGGGCACUUACUGACGCUGAGGAGCGAAAGCGUGGGGAGCGAACAGG